Long non-coding RNA from Pipistrellus kuhlii (Kuhl's pipistrelle), 354 nucleotides. RefSeq lists it as uncharacterized. The record is from RefSeq and is a predicted model, not a curated record. Lineage: Eukaryota; Metazoa; Chordata; Mammalia; Chiroptera; Vespertilionidae. The transcript is spliced from 3 exons.
GGUGGGUAGGUUCCAGUCUAUGUCCUCGCCUCUGGCCUCCUGCAACAUAUCUGCCCCCAGAGCAAAGGAGGGGACGCCCUGGGGCUUUUUCUUUGCAGAGCACUGCCCAGCCCAGGAGGUUUGAGCUGAGGGAGAGGCAGGAUGCCCUGGAGCCUGUGAACCAGCUGCAGGAGACCCCAGACCCCUGGCAGAGCCUGGACCCCUUCAGUUCCCUGGACUCUAAGCCCUUCAAGAAAGGCAGACCCUACUUCGUGCCUGCCUGCGUGGAGGAGGUUCCGGGACAGAAGCACAAGAGGAAGGGUGCCACCAAGCUGCAGGACUUCCACCAGUGGUGCCUGGCCACCUGUGAGUGGG